This 75-nucleotide transfer RNA is filed under the name Candidatus Cloacimonadota bacterium. Its description in RNAcentral is "tRNA-Gln". It matches the Rfam family "tRNA". Rfam says of the family: Transfer RNA (tRNA) molecules are approximately 80 nucleotides in length. Their secondary structure includes four short double-helical elements and three loops (D, anti-codon, and T loops). Lineage: Bacteria; Pseudomonadati; Candidatus Cloacimonadota. RNAcentral also lists the same sequence under 1 other name. The record is from RNAcentral.
UGGGUAGUCGCCAAGUGGUAAGGCAACGGGUUUUGGUUCCGUCAUCCGUAGGUUCGAAUCCUGCCUACCCAGCCA